AUAUUCCUAUUAGUUUUAGAUUACCUAUUAAAUGUUGUAAUCCUAAAGGGAAAGGUUUUACCCUUCCUACUACUAUAAAUAAAGGCACAAUGGGGUGAAAUAAUACACACCCGCAAUUACACAUCUUUCUAUUCUUCUCUCUAUUGCCGCACCCCCUCUCUCUCUAAGGCAUCCAUAAUUGUUCAGUAAAUUAUGCCUAUAACAGGAAAUAUUAUGUUUUAAGUUUGAAUAUUGUAGUAGCAUUAUGAAAAUAUGAAAAAGGAAGAAAGAUAAUGUGUAAGCCUUGGUGAGAAUUUGAAGUAAGCAUGAGAGUAUUAGGAUGUGUUUAGAAGUGUUUUUCAAAUGACUGAAAACAUUUUUAAUGAAAGUGUCUGAUUUUUUUUAACAAACGAUAUUAUCUACACUAAGAGGGAGGGGUGGGCUUUAGCCUCACAAUGGACUAGCAAUAAUGUGAUUUAAAUUCGUCUUUGGUGAGAAUCGAACCUAAGACCUCUAGUUUAACUUUAGUCUAUAAACUUUCAUAUUCGUUUUGUUUUUUAGUUCUCAAAUUUAACAAUGUAUUGCACCAUUGGUCAUUUUCACUAACCUCAUCAUUUUUUUUUUUUUGUUAAAUCUAGAGGUAUAUUAGGAACUUCAACUUAAAACUUAAAAAAAAAAGAAUUAAAAAGAAGCUAAAAAGCAAAUAAAAAUUUAUAAAUUAAUAUCUAAAACUUAAAACAAAAUGAACUUUGAACUAUAAAAGUACAAAAUGAAAAUGGUUGGACUUUAGCAACUUGUAAAUAUUACGCAAUGUGAUUUCAAAGUUGGUAGGAGAUCGAACUGGGGCUAGACUUGAACAACUAACAAAUCACAUAUUGAACUAUGAAAAACAAAUUUCUAUGUAUUCAAUUUUUUUACGAAAAAUAUCUGGUUUUUUCAGGGUUUUUUUUCUUCUCAUUUCUCAAGGACUAAAAAACUAAAUGUGAGUUCAAGGAUUAAAACUAAACUAUGGAUAAAUUCAGCUACCAUUAUUAUAAUUAAACCAUUUGAUAUUGAUGAGAUGGAUUGUGAUCGAUCAAUUGUUACGCACAAUCUACAUCAAAUGAAUUGCUGGAUAGGAUCAAAUUGUGGUCUCCUCUAAACUUUUUCACUAAAAAUGGUUUACUCCAUCAAGGUGUCUUUUUUUUUUUUGGCUUAAAAGAAAAAGACUUCUAUGAAAUGAACUCUCUCAUGUAGCAUGUGUUGGUUAAAUAAAUGCAUUGCUAUGUGGGAUGAAGUUCCUAAUAUGCCCCUAAAUAUAAUGGAAGAAUAGACGGCAACGGUGAAAAAGACCAAUCAUACAACACAUUGUUAAGUUUAAGGACUAAAAACUAAAUGAGAGUUCAAAAACUAAAACUAAACUAGGGAUAAAAUAUAGCGACCAUUGUUAUAAUUAAGCCAUAUAUUGAUGGAAAUGGAUUGAGAUCAAUCGAUCGAUUGUUCCACACAAUCUACGUCAAAUGAAUUGUAGGAUAGGAUCAAAUUGUGGCCUCCUCUAAACUUUUUCACUAAAAAUGGUUUACUCCAUCAAGGUGUGUCUCUUCUUUUUUGGCUUAAAAGAAAAAAACUUCUAUGAAACGAACUCUCUCAUGUGGCGUGUGUUGGUUUAGUAAAUGCAUUGUUAUGUUGGAUGAAGUUCCUAAUAUGUCCCUAAAUAUAAUGGAAAAAUGGACGGCAAUGGUGAAAAAGACCAAUAUACAACACAUUGUUAAGUUUAAGGACUAAAAAACUAAAUGAGAGUUCAAGACUAAAACUAAACUAGGGAUAAAUUCAGCGACCACUGUUAUAAUUAAGCCAUUUAUUGAUGGAAACGGAUUGAGAUUGAUUGAUUGUUCCAACACAAUCUACAUCAAAUGAAUUGCAGGAUAUGAUCAAAAAAAUUGUGGCCUCCUCUAAACUUUUUCACCGAAAAUGGUUUACUCCAUCAAGGUGUGUCCCUUCUUUUUUGGCUUAAAAGAAAAAGACUUCCAUAAAACGAACUAUCUCAUGUGGUGUGUGUUGGUUUAAUAAAUGCAUUGUUAUGUGGGAUGAAGUUCCUAAUAUGCCCCUAAAUAUAAUGGAAAAAUGGACGGCAAUAGUAAAAAAGACCAAUCGUACAACACAAUCUUAAAUUUAAGGACUAAAAACUAAAUAAGAGUUCAAAAACUAAACUAGGAAUAAAAUUCAACGACCAUUGUUAUAAUUAAGUCAUUUAUUGAUUGAUUGUUCCAACACAAUCUACAUCAAAUGAAUUGCAGGAUAUGAUAAAAAAAAUUGUGGCCUCCUCUAAACUUUUUUCACUGAAAAUGGUUUACUCCAUCAUGGUGUGUCUCUUCUUUUUUUGGCUAAAAAGAAAAAGAAUUCUAUGAAACAAACUCACUCUCAUGUGGUGUGUGUUAGUUUAAUAAAUGCAUUGUUAUGUUGGAUGAAGUUCCUAAUAUGCCCCUAAAUAUAAUGGAAAAAUGGACGGCAAUAGUAAAAAAGACCAAUUGUACAACACAUUGUUAAAUUGAUGGACUAAAAACUAAAUAAGAGUUCAAAAACUAAGCUAGGAAUUUAUUACUCGUGAGCACUAAUAGAUUUCACAUUAUUUACGUGAAACACGAAUGCAUUACACACAUUUCAUAUAUUUGUCGUAACUUUUCGUUUUAUCAGGAUAUAUCUUAUCAAAGUGUGAAAUAAAUUUGAUAUAGGUUAAUUUUAGUAAUGGUCUAUAAACUUUACCUCUAGUUUAACUUUAGUCUAUAAACUUUCAUAUUCGUUUUUUUUUUUAGU
RNAcentral lists this long non-coding RNA (2772 nucleotides) under Malus domestica (apple). Its description in RNAcentral is "long non-coding RNA (MDOM_LNC010150)". Lineage: Eukaryota; Viridiplantae; Streptophyta; Magnoliopsida; Rosales; Rosaceae. The record is from RNAcentral.